This is a long non-coding RNA of Cucurbita maxima (winter squash), 268 nucleotides long. RefSeq lists it as uncharacterized. The transcript is spliced from 2 exons. NCBI's taxonomy places the organism in Eukaryota, Viridiplantae, Streptophyta, Magnoliopsida, Cucurbitales, Cucurbitaceae. The record is from RefSeq and is a predicted model, not a curated record.
UCCUACGUUGGAUGGAGAGAUAAUGAAAUGUUCCUUAUAUAAAGAUGUGGUUCUCCCUAGUAGACGUUUUUUAAAACCGUAAGACUGACGACGAUACGUAAUGGGUCAAACCAGCCAAUAUCUACUAGAGGUGUGUUUGUGAUGUUACAAAUGGUAUCAAAACCAGACACCGGACAGUGUGCUAGCAAAGAUGUUGGCCCCCAAGGGAGUGGAUUGUGAAAUCCCACAUUUGUUGGAGAGGGGAAUGAAGUAUUCCUUAUAAGGAUGU